This 275-nucleotide ribosomal RNA is filed under the name Salmonella enterica subsp. enterica serovar Weltevreden. RNAcentral's name for it is "partial 23S ribosomal RNA". It matches the Rfam family "Bacterial large subunit ribosomal RNA", at positions 2656 to 2925 of the family's 2925-position model. The record is from RNAcentral. Lineage: Bacteria; Pseudomonadati; Pseudomonadota; Gammaproteobacteria; Enterobacterales; Enterobacteriaceae.
GGAGAACUGAGGGGGGCUGCUCCUAGUACGAGAGGACCGGAGUGGACGCAUCACUGGUGUUCGGGUUGUCAUGCCAAUGGCACUGCCCGGUAGCUAAAUGCGGAAGAGAUAAGUGCUGAAAGCAUCUAAGUACGAAACUUGCCCCGAGAUGAGUUCUCCCUGAGACUUUAGGUCUCCUGAAGGAACGUUGAAGACGACGACGUUGAUAGGCCGGGUGUGUAAGCGCAGCGAUGCGUUGAGCUAACCGGUACUAAUGAACCGUGAGGCUUAACCUU